Molecule: unclassified non-coding RNA, 273 nt
Filed under: uncultured fungus
Lineage: Eukaryota; Fungi
Description: sequence contains ITS1, 5.8S rRNA gene
Rfam family: 5.8S ribosomal RNA (bases 225-273)
Source: RNAcentral
UCUCCGUUGGUGAACCAGCGGAGGGAUCAUUGCAAAAAGAAGUCGAAAGACUUUUUCUAAACCAUUGUGAACCUUACCUGUCCGUCAAAAAGUUGCUUCGGCGGCCGGCCCCUGGGAGGGGCCGCCGUGGCCCGCCUGCUGGGCGGCCGCCGGGCGGCGAACCAACCGAAACUCUUGCGUAUCAGUUAGUUACCUCUGAGUCUAUUACAUUAAAACGUAGUUAAAACUUUCAACAAUGGAUCUCUUGGCUCUGGCAUCGAUGAAGAACGCAGC